This 466-nucleotide ribosomal RNA is filed under the name uncultured bacterium. Its description in RNAcentral is "partial 16S ribosomal RNA". It matches the Rfam family "Bacterial small subunit ribosomal RNA", at positions 28 to 507 of the family's 1533-position model. The record is from RNAcentral.
GACGAACGCUGGCGGCGUGCUUAACACAUGCAAGUCGAACGGAAAGGCCCUGCUUGCAGGGUACUCGAGUGGCGAACGGGUGAGUAACACGUGGGUGAUCUGCCCUGCACUUCGGGAUAAGCUUGGGAAACUGGGUCUAAUACCGGAUAGGAGCCAUCUUUAGUGUGGUGGUUGGAAAGUUUUUUCGGUGUAGGAUGAGCUCGCGGCCUAUCAGCUUGUUGGUGGGGUAAUGGCCUACCAAGGCGGCGACGGGUAGCCGGCCUGAGAGGGUGUACGGCCACGUUGGGACUGAGAUACGGCCCAGACUCCUACGGGAGGCAGCAGUGGGGAAUAUUGCACAAUGGGCGCAAGCCUGAUGCAGCGACGCCGCGUGGGGGAUGAAGGCCUUCGGGUUGUAAACUCCUUUCGCUAGGGACGAAGCUUUGUUGUGACGGUACCUAGAUAAGAAGCACCGGCUAACUACGUG